RNAcentral lists this transfer RNA (87 nucleotides) under Burkholderia arboris. RNAcentral's name for it is "tRNA-Ser". Lineage: Bacteria; Pseudomonadati; Pseudomonadota; Betaproteobacteria; Burkholderiales; Burkholderiaceae. The record is from RNAcentral.
GUACGGCUGGGCGGCCGGCGACGGCGGCGUGGACGGCUGCGCGGGCGUCGUGCUGCCCGGCGCGCCGUUCGUCUUGCCGGUCGUGCC